GAAAUGCGAUACGCAAUGCGAAUUGCAGAAUUCCGCGAGUCAUCAGAUCUUUGAACGCAAAUGGCGCUCGGUUAAAAAAUACCCGAGCAUGUUUGUUUCAGUGUGUUCGGAAUCAUAUAUCUUAAUGCGAUUGAAUUUUAUAAUUCUCUCGUUAAACAUGAAAGCGCUGAAUUGUUCAGUGCCGACCGAAGUAGUCACUUCUUAGCAAGUGAUCUCGGUUGUGCAUAACUGGAGAUUCACUUAAAGCGUCUUUUUAAUAUAUUUAUUAUUCUCCACUCAACACCUGAAAUCAAGCAAGAUCACCCGCUGAACUUAA
This 316-nucleotide unclassified non-coding RNA is filed under the name uncultured fungus. RNAcentral's name for it is "sequence contains ITS1". The stretch from base 1 to 106 matches the Rfam family "5.8S ribosomal RNA", at positions 50 to 154 of the family's 154-position model. The record is from RNAcentral. Lineage: Eukaryota; Fungi.